Molecule: ribosomal RNA, 321 nt
Filed under: Triticum aestivum (bread wheat)
Lineage: Eukaryota; Viridiplantae; Streptophyta; Magnoliopsida; Poales; Poaceae
Description: partial small subunit ribosomal RNA
Source: RNAcentral
AUGGUUAAAGCAGUGAGCAGUCAUGUCUUUGUCUUCAAUGGCAUCUGGUUCCAUGCAAAUUUCCUUGCUAAGCGAAAAGGAGCCACCAACUGCGUUGAUCUCGUCCCCAAGUACUUCUUUGCUGAAUUGGAAAUCGUGGGGACGAAGAAACUAUCUUGUGUUUCAUGUGUUAAGCUUGACCCAGGUGAUCCCAAAAACAUUGGUGGUUGUAGCCUGUGCUAUGAGAAUAUCAUGCAUCCUGCUGGGGGUGGAUACCACGGUGCCCAACCUCGAUCUGUUCGACAUGCUCCUGGUGGCCAACAGAUUUCAUUCAAGUUCUGA